GUCCAGACUCCUACGGGAGGCAGCAGUGGGGAAUAUUGGACAAUGGGCGAAAGCCUGAUCCAGCCGUGCCGCGUGUGUGAAGAAAGUCUUCGGAUUGUAAAGCACUUUAAGUUGGGAGGAAGGGCAUUAACCUAAUACGUUGGUGUCUUGACGUUACCGACAGAAUAAGCACCGGCUAACUCUGUGCCAGCAGCCGCGGUAAUACAGAGGGUGCAAGCGUUAAUCGGAAUUACUGGGCGUAAAGCGCGCGUAGGUGGUUCGUUAAGUUGGAUGUGAAAUCCCCGGGCUCAGCCUGGGAACUGCAUUCAAAACUGACGAGCUANAGUAUGGUAGAGGGUGGUGGAAUUUCCUGUGUAGCGGUGAAAUGCGUANAUAUAGGAAGGAACACCAGUGGCGAAGGCGACCACCUGGACUGAUACUGACACUGAAGUGCGAAAGCGUGGGGAGCAAACAGGAUUANAUACCCUGGUAGUCCACGCCGUAAACGAUGUCAACUA
This 497-nucleotide ribosomal RNA is filed under the name uncultured Gammaproteobacteria bacterium. RNAcentral describes it as "bacterial SSU rRNA". It matches the Rfam family "Bacterial small subunit ribosomal RNA", at positions 329 to 818 of the family's 1533-position model. Lineage: Bacteria; Pseudomonadati; Pseudomonadota; Gammaproteobacteria. The record is from RNAcentral.